RNAcentral lists this ribosomal RNA (497 nucleotides) under uncultured bacterium. Its description in RNAcentral is "partial 16S ribosomal RNA". It matches the Rfam family "Bacterial small subunit ribosomal RNA", at positions 28 to 507 of the family's 1533-position model. The record is from RNAcentral.
GAUGAACGCUGGCGGCGUGCCUAAUACAUGCAAGUCGAGCGAACGGACGAGAAGCUUGCUUCUCUGAUGUUAGCGGCGGACGGGUGAGUAACACGUGGAUAACCUACCUAUAAGACUGGGAUAACUUCGGGAAACCGGAGCUAAUACCGGAUAAUAUUUUGAACCGCAUGGUUCAAAAGUGAAAGACGGUCUUGCUGGCACUUAUAGAUGGAUCCGCGCUGCAUUAGCUAGUUGGUAAGGUAACGGCUUACCAAGGCAACGAUGCAUAGCCGACCUGAGAGGGUGGUAGGCCACACGGGAACUGAGACACGGUCCAGACUCCUACGGGAGGCAGCAGUAGGGAAUCUUACGCAAUGGGCGAAAGCCUGACGGAGCAACGCCGCGUGAGUGAUGAAGGUCUUCGGAUCGUAAAACUCUGUUAUUAGGGAAGAACAUAUGUGUAAGUAACUGUGCACAUCUUGACGGUACCUAAUCAGAAAGCCACGGCUAACUACGUG